RNAcentral lists this ribosomal RNA (465 nucleotides) under uncultured bacterium. RNAcentral describes it as "partial 16S ribosomal RNA". It matches the Rfam family "Bacterial small subunit ribosomal RNA", at positions 28 to 506 of the family's 1533-position model. The record is from RNAcentral.
GACGAACGCUGGCGGUGUGCUUAACACAUGCAAGUCGAACGGUAAGGCCCUUUCGGGGGUACACGAGUGGCGAACGGGUGAGUAACACGUGAGUAACCUGCCCUCAUCUCUGGGAUAACAGUCGGAAACGGUUGCUAAUACUGGAUAUGAGCUUGCAAGGCAUCUUGUGGGUUGGAAAGAUUUUUUUGGUUGGGGAUGGACUCGCGGCCUAUCAGCUUGUUGGUGAGGUAGUGGCUCACCAAGGCUUCGACGGGUAGCCGGCCUGAGAGGGCGACCGGCCACAUUGGGACUGAGAUACGGCCCAAACUCCUACGGGAGGCAGCAGUGGGGAAUAUUGCACAAUGGACGGAAGUCUGAUGCAGCAACGCCGCGUGCGGGAUGACGGCCUUCGGGUUGUAAACCGCUUUCAAUUGUGACGAAGCUUUUUGUGACGGUAGCAGUAGAAGAAACACCGGCUAACUACGU